UGCGACGGGUGAGUAACGCGUGGGGAACCUGCCCUGUACAGGGGGAUAACACUUAGAAAUAGGUGCUAAUACCGCAUAAGCGCACAGUAUCGCAUGAUACAGUGUGAAAAACUCCGGUGGUACAGGAUGGACCCGCGUCUGAUUAGCUGGUUGGCGGGGUAACGGCCCACCAAGGCGACGAUCAGUAGCCGGCCUGAGAGGGUGAACGGCCACAUUGGGACUGAGACACGGCCCAAACUCCUACGGAAGGCAGCAG
This 256-nucleotide ribosomal RNA is filed under the name uncultured bacterium. RNAcentral describes it as "partial 16S ribosomal RNA". It matches the Rfam family "Bacterial small subunit ribosomal RNA", at positions 98 to 354 of the family's 1533-position model. The record is from RNAcentral.